AGCAGCCGCGGUAAUUCCAGCUCCAAUAGCGUAUAUUAAAGUUGUUGCAGUUAAAAGGCUCGUAGUUGAAUUUCGGGAUCAAUUUGUCGGUCGUGCCUCGGUACGUACUGGUAUUAUUGGUUUCUACCUUCUGAAGAACCUUGAUGUCAUUAAUUUGGUGUCUUGGGGAAUCAGGACUGUUACUUUGAAAAAAU
Molecule: ribosomal RNA, 194 nt
Filed under: uncultured Funneliformis
Lineage: Eukaryota; Fungi; Glomeromycota; Glomeromycetes; Glomerales; Glomeraceae
Description: partial 18S ribosomal RNA
Rfam family: Eukaryotic small subunit ribosomal RNA
Source: RNAcentral